GACGUACUCCCUUCGUUUCGAAUUACUCGUCGCAGAAAUGGAUGUAUCUAAAUGUAUUUUAGUUUUAGAUACAUCCAUUUUUAAGACGAGUAAUUUAGAACGGAGGAAGUACGUA
Triticum urartu is the source of this 115-nucleotide non-coding RNA. Lineage: Eukaryota; Viridiplantae; Streptophyta; Magnoliopsida; Poales; Poaceae. The record is from Rfam.